This 281-nucleotide small RNA is filed under the name Mandrillus leucophaeus (drill). RNAcentral's name for it is "Metazoan signal recognition particle RNA (ENSMLEG00000008097.1)". The record is from RNAcentral. Lineage: Eukaryota; Metazoa; Chordata; Mammalia; Primates; Cercopithecidae.
GCCAGGCAUGGUGGCUCAUGCCUGUAAUCUCAGCACUUUGGGAGGCCGAGGCAGGCGGAUCACCUGAGGUCAGGAGUUCUAGAACAGACUGGUCAACAUGGUGAAACCACGUCUCUACUAAAAAUACAAAAUAUUAGCUGGACGUGGUGGCGGGUGCCUGUAAUUCCAGCUACUCGGGAAGCUGAGGCAGGAGAAUCACUUGAGUCCACGAGGUGGAGGUUGCAGUGAGCUAUCGUGCCAUUGCACUCCAGCCUGGGCAACAAGAGUGAAACUCUGUCUCA